CGGCAUCUUCCCAAGAUGGCAGCUUUCGUUUGGGCUUCUUCCAAGUUUCGGGAUUUGGUGUUUUUGGGCCAAGAAGCAUAAUGCACAGCAGAGGCUGAAGAGUUUUCUGAGACAUUCUAUUUCUUUGCUUUGUUUUUAGCUGGUUCAGUUUGCUGAAAGACCGUUUACAAGCAGCAGUUGAUUGUGAAAGCAUCAUGUUACAAGAUUAUGAAUCGAGUUUUGAUAUCAGAAUUAUUUUAAAGUCCUAGUUAUUAUGACUUUACAGGAUGAACAAAUAAAAAUGGU
RNAcentral lists this unclassified non-coding RNA (285 nucleotides) under Gigantopelta aegis. RNAcentral's name for it is "uncharacterized LOC121368832, transcript variant X1". Lineage: Eukaryota; Metazoa; Mollusca; Gastropoda; Neomphalida; Peltospiridae. The record is from RNAcentral.